RNAcentral lists this ribosomal RNA (1386 nucleotides) under Paraglossum epiglossum. RNAcentral's name for it is "LSU rRNA". It matches the Rfam family "Eukaryotic large subunit ribosomal RNA", at positions 417 to 1862 of the family's 3401-position model. The record is from RNAcentral. Lineage: Eukaryota; Rhodophyta; Florideophyceae; Ceramiales; Delesseriaceae.
AAGCGCAUUGCGUUGAAUUGAAGAGGUGGGAUGUUGUUCAGCUUCCUUGUGGAGUGUACUCAGCAUUUCGUCUACCUGUCGUGGGCUCGUGGUGGUGGAUUUUGCACUGCCGCGGGCUGAGGGAUCCCCUUUUUCUUUUAAAAGGGUGAAGACGAUAGGGCGCCGACGCGAUACGACCCGUCUUGAAACACGGACCAAGGAGUCUAGCGUAGCUGCGAGUCGUAGGGAUUCAAUCCUGAGGGCGCAGUGAAAGCGAAUUGUUCAUCUAUAAAACGAUGCAGUUUGAGGCGGCAUACGAUCUUUGAUUGUAGGUCCGACCUAGAGCAGUUAUGCUAGGACCCGAAAGAUGGUGAACUAUACCGGAGUAGGGCGAAGCCAGAGGAAACUCUGGUGGAGGCUCGUAGCGGUGCUGACGUGCAAAUCGCUCGUCGAACUUGGGUAUAGGGGCGAAAGACUAAUCGAACCAUCUAGUAGCUGGUUUCCUCCGAAGUUUCUCUCAGGAUAGCAAGCCGUAUGUAUGUUGUUGUGUGUGGUAAAGCGAAUGAUUAGCGUAUUUGGGGGCAUUUUGUCUCCAGUCGAUUCUCAAACUUUAAAUGCGCACGGACGUUGCUGCUUUUCGGAGCGGCGUCGUUAAAAACUACGGCUUUGUGGGCCAAUUUUGGUAAGCAGAACUGGCGAUACGGGAUGAACCGUAAGCGUGGUUAAGGCGUCAAAUUAUCCACUUAUAGACCCCAAAAAAGGUGUUGAUUCAUCGAGACAGCAGGACGGUGGCCAUGGAAGUCGGAAUCCGCUAAGGAGUGUGUAACAACUCACCUGCCGAAUGAAUUAGCCCUGAAAAUGGAUGACGCUGAAGUGGAUAGCCGACACCACGCCGUCUGAACAAGUUUUUGUUUUCAGAUGAGUAGGAGGACGUGGCGGUCGUAUAGAAGCGUGGGUGCAAACCUGCGUGGAACGGCCGCUAGUGCAGAUCUUGGUGUUAGUAGCAAAUAUUCAAUUGAGAACCUUGAAGGGCGAAGCGGGGAAGGGUUCCACGCGAACAUUGAUUGGGCGUGGGUAAGUCGUUCCUAAGCCGCGUGGCAAUAGCUAAUUAUCGGCGAAAGGGAAGCAGGUUGACAUUCCUGCACACGGAUGUAGAGGCGGUGACGCACUUCUGGAGCAAUAAAGCUGGCGAUGGCGCUAGGCAGAGUUUUCUUUUCUGUUUAACCGUGCUGUGCGCGCUGUGUGAAAUCCGCUUGUCGGGAGAAACACGCGUGUUCGGGCAUAGCGCCGGGGUUUUUCCGGCGUCUAGCUAGCCAUCGACGGACCUUGAAACAUUGCUUGCUGGCAGAAUUCGAAAGGGUUCUGUGUGAAAAAAUCUACGCCGUAACGUACCGAUAUCCGCAGCAG